UCUUUAUUUUAUUUAUUAUUUAUUAUUUUUGUAGGAUAUUAGUGCUGGCAGGCAAUGGACAAGUUUUUGAGAGAUGUUAGCGGCAAUGAUCGCAAAUCAACAGUGGAAAUUGACGAAGGAGAAACACCCGU
Molecule: long non-coding RNA, 131 nt
Organism: Drosophila navojoa
Lineage: Eukaryota; Metazoa; Arthropoda; Insecta; Diptera; Drosophilidae
Source: RefSeq, a predicted model, not a curated record